RNAcentral lists this ribosomal RNA (420 nucleotides) under uncultured bacterium. Its description in RNAcentral is "bacterial SSU rRNA". It matches the Rfam family "Bacterial small subunit ribosomal RNA", at positions 356 to 773 of the family's 1533-position model. The record is from RNAcentral.
GAGGAAUAUUGGUCAAUGGACGCAAGUCUGAACCAGCCAUGCCGCGUGGAGGAUGACAGCCUUCUGGGUUGUAAACUUCUUUUAUAUGGGAAGAAAAGUACGGUUUCUACUGUAUCCGACGGUACCAUAUGAAUAAGCACCGGCUAACUCCGUGCCAGCAGCCGCGGUAAUACGGAGGGUGCAAGCGUUAUCCGGAUUUACUGGGUUUAAAGGGUGUGUAGGCGGAUAUUUAAGUCAGAGGUGAAAUCUCCGGGCUCAACCCGGAAACUGCCUUUGAUACUAUUUAUCUUGAAUUUCGUUGAGGUUGGCGGAAUAUAUCAUGUAGCGGUGAAAUGCAUAGAUAUGAUAUAGAACACCGAUUGCGUAGGCAGCUGGCUGAACGAACAUUGACGCUGAGGCACGAAAGCGUGGGUAGCGAAC